CCCGCGGGAGCCGCAGCCGCUGGGCGCGCCCCCAGCUUGUCCUCCUCCUCUCGGCCUCCCAGCUCCUGCUGCUCCUUUGGCGACUCGGGCUCUACGCAUAGCUAGAAGAACCCCGUUUGACUAGAGGACCAGGCUCCCGUUCUGGCUUCGGCUCUCAGUCCCUCUGUAUCUCGCGCAAGCAAAUCAUUACGUUCAUCCUCCAUCUCCCAGCCUCAGUUUCCUCGCCUAUGACACGGCAGAGAUGGGCCAGGAAGACUUUCCUGGACACAUCAGCGCACACUACAGUUUUGUGACUCUGGGAAUAGGGCCGGAAGGAUUCAGGGCUGGGCUCCAGCUGCUAAGAUGACGGGAAGACAGCAUGACCCGAGAGCCAGCCUUCUUAUCUGCGCCAGAGACCUCACGGUGUCCUGCCACGACCCAUACCCCUAUGGCCUCCAUCCGGGACUGCUGCACAGCUCUGUUCUGAGUCCCCGCCCUGCAAAGGAGGUGUGGAGGUUGUGGCCUCCUUCCACCACCCCGCCCUAAGCAACUUUCCCUUCAGGAGACUCAGCAGAGGACAAGUAAUCUCAUAGAAAGUCCCAGAGAGACUGGAACUAAUGUCAGCAUCACGCACACUGAGAAGUGCCCUCUUCAAUCAACGAAGCUGGAGGUACAGAGGGAGAAGGAGGAGGAAGCAAGAGAAGGGAGAGCGUGAAGAGCAGUCAAUUGGGAUGGUCCCUGGGAAAAUCCUGCAGGAGCCCUGUCUUAGGCCAAAGGCCUGGCAACUAGAGGACGGAUUUGUGAAAGUCAGCUCCGUCCAGACCUACCUUGUGACCUCGACCUUGGACAAGUCACUUCAUCUCUCCAAGACUCAAGUUCCUCGCCUGUAUACAAAUGGGGAUCUGUGGAACCCAUCUCACAGGAUUAUGGAGAAAAUGAAAUGGGAUAACCUACAUAAGUACUGUAACUGUGGCCAGGCAGGGCUCAGUAAAACCCAGCACGAUAGCUGUUCUGGGCAGCAAUAUGGGUUCCUACAGUUGGUUGGCUGGUGGAAGGCACCUCUGAGGAUGUGUG
This 1053-nucleotide long non-coding RNA is filed under the name Capra hircus (goat). RNAcentral describes it as "lncRNA (ENSCHIG00000008266.1)". The record is from RNAcentral. Lineage: Eukaryota; Metazoa; Chordata; Mammalia; Artiodactyla; Bovidae.